This 32-nucleotide non-coding RNA is filed under the name Geobacter sulfurreducens KN400. Lineage: Bacteria; Pseudomonadati; Thermodesulfobacteriota; Desulfuromonadia; Geobacterales; Geobacteraceae. The record is from RNAcentral.
AUCGCCGCCAUGUUCGGCAACUCGGCCGAGGA